ACAUUUCCUCUUUUUGUGACAAACUACAGUAUAUAAGAUCACACAAGCGUCAGCCUAACAAACUUGCUUAGAGCACUGAUCCAGAGUCAGAUUUGGCGCCUUUCAGCUCGUGAAGAUGUGUCCGACUCUCUCCAUCAGCCGCUGGAUUUUCCUGCUCUGUCUGCCUGUCGUGAUGCUCGUCUCUGUGCAGAAAGCCCAUUCCUCACCUCAAAGUGUGGGUUUGAAGUGCUGCCACAAGGUCAUCACCCAGGAAGUAAAGACAAUCCAAAGUUGCUUUGAACAAAAACCACGCUAUGGCUGCAGGCAACACGCCUUCCUGAUCAUCAACAAGCGGCAUAAAAAUAACAUAUGGUGCAUUGAUCCAAAUUCUGAGUGGCUCAAAGACAAAAUAGAGAAGGGAGAACUGAAAUGUCCUCCAGUGAUAAGUGUAUGAAGCAACAAUGAGACCACAAAAACAUCAGAGCAAAGAAGCUGCUGACAACAUUUUUUACUUAUUUAAUUGUAAUUCCUUUUACAUAUCUAUUUAUUUAUUAUGUAAGUUAUUAUUUAAGCCUUUAAGCCAUCAACAUCAUUCCUAAUUUGUUGUAGAUGACAGUAAUAAAAGUUGUUCUUUGUGACUCUAAAUAAAUAUGGAUCAUG
This is a long non-coding RNA of Oreochromis aureus, 639 nucleotides long. The record is from Ensembl. Lineage: Eukaryota; Metazoa; Chordata; Actinopteri; Cichliformes; Cichlidae.